RNAcentral lists this ribosomal RNA (1404 nucleotides) under bacterium. RNAcentral describes it as "bacterial SSU rRNA". It matches the Rfam family "Bacterial small subunit ribosomal RNA". The record is from RNAcentral.
GCAGUCGAGCGGUAGCACAGAGAGCUUGCUCUCGGGUGACGAGCGGCGGACGGGUGAGUAAUGUCUGGGAAACUGCCUGAUGGAGGGGGAUAACUACUGGAAACGGUAGCUAAUACCGCAUAAUGUCGCAAGACCAAAGAGGGGGACCUUCGGGCCUCUUGCCAUCAGAUGUGCCCAGAUGGGAUUAGCUAGUAGGUGGGGUAACGGCUCACCUAGGCGACGAUCCCUAGCUGGUCUGAGAGGAUGACCAGCCACACUGGAACUGAGACACGGUCCAGACUCCUACGGGAGGCAGCAGUGGGGAAUAUUGCACAAUGGGCGCAAGCCUGAUGCAGCCAUGCCGCGUGUAUGAAGAAGGCCUUCGGGUUGUAAAGUACUUUCAGCGGGGAGGAAGGUGUUGAGGUUAAUAACCUCAGCAAUUGACGUUACCCGCAGAAGAAGCACCGGCUAACUCCGUGCCAGCAGCCGCGGUAAUACGGAGGGUGCAAGCGUUAAUCGGAAUUACUGGGCGUAAAGCGCACGCAGGCGGUCUGUCAAGUCGGAUGUGAAAUCCCCGGGCUCAACCUGGGAACUGCAUUCGAAACUGGCAGGCUAGAGUCUUGUAGAGGGGGGUAGAAUUCCAGGUGUAGCGGUGAAAUGCGUAGAGAUCUGGAGGAAUACCGGUGGCGAAGGCGGCCCCCUGGACAAAGACUGACGCUCAGGUGCGAAAGCGUGGGGAGCAAACAGGAUUAGAUACCCUGGUAGUCCACGCCGUAAACGAUGUCGACUUGGAGGUUGUGCCCUUGAGGCGUGGCUUCCGGAGCUAACGCGUUAAGUCGACCGCCUGGGGAGUACGGCCGCAAGGUUAAAACUCAAAUGAAUUGACGGGGGCCCGCACAAGCGGUGGAGCAUGUGGUUUAAUUCGAUGCAACGCGAAGAACCUUACCUACUCUUGACAUCCAGAGAACUUUCCAGAGAUGGAUUGGUGCCUUCGGGAACUCUGAGACAGGUGCUGCAUGGCUGUCGUCAGCUCGUGUUGUGAAAUGUUGGGUUAAGUCCCGCAACGAGCGCAACCCUUAUCCUUUGUUGCCAGCGGUCCGGCCGGGAACUCAAAGGAGACUGCCAGUGAUAAACUGGAGGAAGGUGGGGAUGACGUCAAGUCAUCAUGGCCCUUACGAGUAGGGCUACACACGUGCUACAAUGGCGCAUACAAAGAGAAGCGACCUCGCGAGAGCAAGCGGACCUCAUAAAGUGCGUCGUAGUCCGGAUUGGAGUCUGCAACUCGACUCCAUGAAGUCGGAAUCGCUAGUAAUCGUAGAUCAGAAUGCUACGGUGAAUACGUUCCCGGGCCUUGUACACACCGCCCGUCACACCAUGGGAGUGGGUUGCAAAAGAAGUAGGUAGCUUAACCUUCGGGAGGGCGCU